GAUGAACGCUGGCGGCGUGCCUAAUACAUGCAAGUCGAGCGAACGGACGAGAAGCUUGCUUCUCUGAUGUUAGCGGCGGACGGGUGAGUAACACGUGGAUAACCUACCUAUAAGACUGGGAUAACUUCGGGAAACCGGAGCUAAUACCGGAUAAUAUUUUGAACCGCAUGGUUCAAAAGUGAAAGACGGUCUUGCUGUCACUUAUAGAUGGAUCCGCGCUGCAUUAGAUAGUUGGUAAGGUAACGGCUUACCAAGGCAACGAUGCAUAGCCGACCUGAGAGGGUGAUCGGGCACACUGGAACUGAGACACGGUCCAGACUCCUACGGGAGGCAGCAGUAGGGAAUCUUCCGCAAUGGGCGAAAGCCUGACGGAGCAACGCCGCGUGAGUGAUGAAGGUCUUCGGAUCGUAAAACUCUGUUAUUAGGGAAGAACAUAUGUGUAAGUAACUGUGCACAUCUUGACGGUACCUAAUCAGAAAGCCACGGCUAACUACGUG
Molecule: ribosomal RNA, 497 nt
Filed under: uncultured bacterium
Lineage: Bacteria
Description: partial 16S ribosomal RNA
Rfam family: Bacterial small subunit ribosomal RNA
Source: RNAcentral